Non-coding RNA from Taeniopygia guttata (zebra finch), 1297 nucleotides. The record is from RefSeq and is a predicted model, not a curated record. NCBI's taxonomy places the organism in Eukaryota, Metazoa, Chordata, Aves, Passeriformes, Estrildidae.
UCAGGUUCUGAAAAAUUAAUUUUUGUUCUGGUUGUGUCUUGUGUUAGGAAUAAUUUUGUGAUUUUUUUUUUUUUUCCUAUAGGACUGUUAUGUGCUCAACAAGAUUUGAGUGCUGUAUUUAUGCAGAUCUAAUGACUGUGACCAUUUCUGUUCAGGUCAAAGGAAUUAGGUAUCUGAGGCAGUAAAUAUCACCACUAUUAAAGGCAAUCAUUCAUCCAUUUACAAGCUGUCAAGUAGCAUAACAGAUAACUUGCCUUUUCUGUUUUAGGAGAAUCAGCAAAUAUUUAUUUCCUCCAAUGUUUAUUCCCUCCAGUGCUGCUCUGUUAACCCCUUUCAUCUGUUUCCUCUGCCUGCUGCACCUUGCCCUGAAUGGAGUGAUGCUCUUCACUCCAGAGAGAAGCAGCAGUAAACCUUGUCGAGUGCUAGGUGCGUGGUAUUGAUUCCUCUUGAAGUCUGAGGAGAUAGAAGCUGAGGGAACUGAGGAGCAUCUGAGUUAACUGUGGUUAUUUAGGCUGGAGAAGAGGAGACUUGGGGACCCCACCACUCUCUACAAGUGCUUGGAAGGAGGCUCCAGUCAGGGGAGGGUCGGCGUUUUCCUUCAGGAUAGUAAGAGCUGUGCUGAAUGGCUGUUUGUACAAUCCAUCUUUUAAUCCACUCUCUGAGGCAGAAGACUAUUCAGAGUAAGGAAGCGGCUGGACUGUAAAUGUGUGCUUGCAUAACUUAUCCAGAUGAAUCAAUCCUGUGGGACCUAGAGGUAAAUGCAUUACACCAGUGGGACAGGAGACUUCUCAUUUUGUAGGCUUUUAGAAUGACCCUUGAUUGGGACUCCCUUUCAGGACUGUAAUGUAAAUAAAAUAAUUAACUUUAUUUUUUAAGUUUUAAGCUAAACAACCAUAGCAUUGAAGGUAUAUGUUUUAUUUUUUAAUGUCUAACAUAAUAUUUCUUGUUAUAGAAAAAAGAAUUCAUGCAUGCUCAGCCAAUAAGUUUCAGUUAAAAGGCAGCUGUUUUUUCGAUGUGUGUUUUUUUAAAUCUCCCUCUCUAAUUAAUGAAAACUCUUCCCUCAUUCCUUUUGAUUUAAAACCUGUAUUAUGGUAACAAGGAUUUGUAAUCCUUGUUAAUUUUUCAAGUAUAAGGAAACGGUUUCCAUUGCACAUUUUUUUGUUGAAAAACUCAAGUUUGAAAGAAAAAUUCAGCUAAAUUUUGAUUCAUAAGCAGUAUGUCUAGGCAGAUCCUAGAGUCUAAUAUUGAAAUAGUUAUAAAUUGUUAUAAAGUUCACCAGGUCUGAUAUUCAGAGAUA